Molecule: long non-coding RNA, 99 nt
Organism: Sapajus apella (tufted capuchin)
Lineage: Eukaryota; Metazoa; Chordata; Mammalia; Primates; Cebidae
Exons: 3
Source: RefSeq, a predicted model, not a curated record
AAAACUAUAAUAUGGGGGUACAGUAGCCAAAGCAGCAUGGCACUAGUAUAAAAAUAGACACAUAAAUCAAUGGAACAGAAUAGAGAACCCAGAAAUAAG